Molecule: long non-coding RNA, 986 nt
Filed under: Salvia miltiorrhiza (redroot sage)
Lineage: Eukaryota; Viridiplantae; Streptophyta; Magnoliopsida; Lamiales; Lamiaceae
Description: long non-coding RNA (SMIL_LNC004586)
Source: RNAcentral
GACAUAAAAGAAUAAUAAGAAAUUUUAUUAUUGAUGGAUAUGAUCAUCAUGUACAUGUGACUCCCCUAGAUAAUAAAUAUGUCCACGAGCUAUAAUCCAAGAGUCAUGUGUAAUCACCCAAAUAAUAAUAACAAUCAAACAAAUGAUCCCACUACAAAUCAAAUAAACAAACCACAAACAAAUAUAACCAAAAAUAGAAGAGAAAAUUAAACAAGGAGUAAAAUGACCACUAAGCCCCCAACAAAAGGACAAAACAAUCCCUCAUCCAAAAACAGAUCUACGCCGUCCACGUGGAGGAUCUAAACCAAAGCCACCGCCACAAGCACCGCCGCGAGAGCGGCGCCGCCAAAGGUAGCCCUGCUGACGAAGCCGCUGCUGCCGUCGGCGGGCGGUUGGUCGGCAGAUGGGCCGGCGGUGGGGCCGGCGGGGCUGGGUGAGGCUGGUGCGGGGGUGCCCGGGGCGGGGGCGGGGGACUCUCCCCCGGCGGUGGGGCCGGCCGCCGGUCCUGGGGUGGGGGCGGGGGUCGCUGGAGCCGGGGAAGGAGUGGCGGUGGGCGGCGCCAUCGGUGCUGCGGUGGGGGAGACCGUUGGUGCGCCUGCCGGUGAUUGGGCCAUGCAUGAAGUGGCCAACAGUGCCAUCACUAGGAAAAGCUUGAACCCUGUUGAUGAAGCCAUUGCUGUUUGCUACUUGCUAGAGAGAGAAAGAGUGUUUUAGAGAGAGAGAUUAUGUGAAGUUUGAAGAUGGACAAAGGCAUAUUGUAAAGUGAAGAUAUAUAUAAAAAGGAGGGAGAGAGAUUAGUGGGAAAAUAAUGAUGAGAUUCCGUGAAGAGGUAUUAAAUAAUUAAGUUUGGACAGGCAUUGCAUGUGUAGUGUAGCUCUGUUUCCACUCUGUGAAAUUAAUGACCAGAAGUCUUCUUCUUUUUUAUUUUUUAUUGGUUGUAUAUAAUGUAAUUUAAAUUAGUGUUUGUUAAGAUGUUUGCAUGUUAG